This 650-nucleotide ribosomal RNA is filed under the name uncultured marine bacterium. Its description in RNAcentral is "bacterial SSU rRNA". It matches the Rfam family "Bacterial small subunit ribosomal RNA", at positions 83 to 712 of the family's 1533-position model. The record is from RNAcentral.
GUGGCGAGUAAAGUGGCGCACGGGUGAGUAACGCGUGGGUAAUCUGCCCUCAGGUUUGGGAUAACCCCGGGAAACCGGAGCUAAUACCGAAUAAGACCACGAUGACUUCGGUCGAUGUGGGAAAAGGUGGCCUCUCGAAGAAGCUAUCACCAGAGGAUGAGCCCGCGUUUGAUUAGCUUGUUGGUGAGGUAACGGCUCACCAAGGCUCCGAUCAAUAGCUGGUCUGAGAGGAUGAUCAGCCACACUGGAACUGAGACACGGUCCAGACUCCUACGGGAGGCAGCAGUCGGGAAUAUUGGGCAAUGGAGGCAACUCUGACCCAGCAACGCCGCGUGAAGGAUGAAGGCCCUCGGGUCGUAAACUUCUGUCGAGAGGGAAGAAACGCGUAAGGUUAAUACCCUUGCGUCUGACGGUACCUCCAAAGGAAGCACCGGCUAACUCCGUGCCAGCAGCCGCGGUAAUACGGAGGGUGCAAGCGUUGUUCGGAUUUAUUGGGCGUAAAGCGAGUGUAGGCGGUUUGUCAAGUCGGGUGUGAAAUCCCAGGGCCCAACCCUGGAACUGCACCCGAUACUGGCAGGCUAGAGUCCCGGAGAGGAUGGCGGAAUUCCCGGUGUAGGGGUGAAAUCCGUAGAUAUCGGGAGGAACACCAG